AUGGCGUCGGGGGUGUCGACGAGCAUGGUGCUCACGCUGCUCGGCUUCUGCGUCAGCGUCCUCUUCAUAGUCUUCGUCUGCUCCAGGCUCGUCUGCGCGCUCGUGCGCCGCCGCCGCCGCCGCUCCCGCGCCUCGCCGCUACCGCCGGGCUUCCCGCCCCUCGCCGCGAACUACUUCUUCGCCGUCCAGGUCGACCGCCUGGGAGCCCAGGCCGCGGCUGGCCCCGGUGCCGGGGGGCUGGACCUGGCCGCCGUCGCCUCCUUCCCCACCCGCGCCUUCGCAGCUGCCGCCUCCUCCGACUCCGACUCCUCAGACGCGGCCCCGCAGUGUGUUGUCUGUCUUGCAGAAUACGAGGACAAAGAUGUACUCCGCACUCUUCCUUACUGUGGCCACAAUUUCCAUAUGGUGUGCAUAGAUGCUUGGCUAAAGCAGCACUCAACGUGCCCAGUCUGUAGAAUUUCACUGUCUGACUAUCCCGAUAGCAAGCAUAUCGCGCCUCCUUUACCAAGUGCAGUGGUGAUACCUAUACCUAUACCUCCUUAUUCUCCCGAAGCAUCAAUAUCGGAUCCGUGCCAUUGCCUGUUUGUCGGCACGGUGCAUUCGCCAAGGCCAUCAGAGGUUCUUCAGAACGAACCCGACCAGGCGAAUCGGACAGUACCCGGUCCACCCUUGGAUGGGCCAGACAACUUGACGUUGUCUGAGGUUACCUCUCCCGGCGAAAUAACAACCAAACAGUAA
RNAcentral lists this ribosomal RNA (738 nucleotides) under Triticum aestivum (bread wheat). RNAcentral's name for it is "partial small subunit ribosomal RNA". The record is from RNAcentral. Lineage: Eukaryota; Viridiplantae; Streptophyta; Magnoliopsida; Poales; Poaceae.